RNAcentral lists this ribosomal RNA (463 nucleotides) under Pseudo-nitzschia fraudulenta. RNAcentral's name for it is "partial Bacterial small subunit ribosomal RNA". It matches the Rfam family "Bacterial small subunit ribosomal RNA", at positions 1069 to 1532 of the family's 1533-position model. The record is from RNAcentral. Lineage: Eukaryota; Bacillariophyta; Bacillariophyceae; Bacillariales; Bacillariaceae.
GAGAUGUUGGGUUAAGUCCCGUAACGAGCGCAACCCCUAUCCCUAGUUGCUAGCAGUUCGGCUGAGAACUCUAGGGAGACUGCCGGUGUCAAACCGGAGGAAGGUGGGGAUGACGUCAGGUCAUCAUGGCCCUUACGGCCAGGGCUACACACGUGCUACAAUGGUGCGUACAGAGGGCUGCAAACCCGCGAGGGGGAGCUAAUCUCACAAAACGCAUCGUAGUCCGGAUCGGAGUCUGCAACUCGACUCCGUGAAGUCGGAAUCGCUAGUAAUCGCGGAUCAGAAUGCCGCGGUGAAUACGUUCCCGGGCCUUGUACACACCGCCCGUCACACCAUGGGAGUGGAUUGCACCAGAAGUGGUUAGUCUAACCGUAAGGGGGACGAUCACCACGGUGUGGUUCAUGACUGGGGUGAAGUCGUAACAAGGUAGCCCUAGGGGAACCUGCGGCUGGAUCACCUCCUU